GGGAGCAUAGCUCAGCCGGUUAGAGCACUUGCCUUACAAGCAAGGGGUCACUGGUUCGAGUCCAGUUGUUCCCACCA
RNAcentral lists this transfer RNA (77 nucleotides) under Bacillota bacterium. RNAcentral describes it as "tRNA-Val". It matches the Rfam family "tRNA". Rfam says of the family: Transfer RNA (tRNA) molecules are approximately 80 nucleotides in length. Their secondary structure includes four short double-helical elements and three loops (D, anti-codon, and T loops). RNAcentral also lists the same sequence under 11 other names. The record is from RNAcentral. Lineage: Bacteria; Bacillati; Bacillota.